RNAcentral lists this ribosomal RNA (1433 nucleotides) under metagenome. RNAcentral's name for it is "bacterial SSU rRNA". It matches the Rfam family "Archaeal small subunit ribosomal RNA". The record is from RNAcentral.
UCCCGUUGAUCCUGCGGGAGGUUGCUGCUAUCGGAGUUCGACUAAGGCAUGCAAGUUUGUGUCUCUUGAGACACGGCAGAAGGCUGAGUAACACGUAGAUAAUCUUCCGUGAGGUCCGCGAUAAUCUCGGGAAACUGAGGGUAAGAGCGGGCAUGAAACAUGGCCUGGGAUGGUAUGUUUCUGAAAGGUAACGGCUCACGAUGAGUCUGCGGGGGAUUAGGUAGUUGGCGGGGUAAUGGCCCACCAAGCCGAAGAUCCCUAGGGGCCCUGAGAGGGGGAGCCCCCAGAAGGACACUGAGAUACGGGUCCUAGCCCUACGGGGUGCAGCAGCCGCGAAACCUUCCCAAUGCACGCAAGUGUGAGGAGGGAACUCCGAGUGCCCAUGCACAGCAUGGGCUUUUGCCAAGGGUAAAUACCUUGGCGAAUAAGUGGUGGGUAAGACGGGUGCCAGCCGCCGCGGUAACACCCGCGCCACAAGUGGGAACCGAUUUAUUGGGUCUAAAGCGUCCGUAGCUGGUAAGGCAAAUUUUCUGUGAAAUAAUACUGCUUAACAGUAUUUCGUGCAGGAAACACUACCUUGCUAGGGACUGGGAGAGGUACGAGGUAUUCCAAGGGGAGCGGUAAAAUGUUAUAAUCCUUGGAGGACCACCGAUGGCGAAGGCAUCGUACCAGAACAGUUCCGACAGUGAGGGACGAAAGCCAGGGGAGCGAUCCGGAUUAGAUACCCGAGUAGUCCUGGCCCUAAACGCUGCAUGCUAGGUGUUGCACAAUCUUCGCGAUUGUGCAGUGUCGUAGUGAAGACGCUAAGCAUGCCACCUGGGAAGUACGGUCGCAAGACUGAAACUUAAAGGAAUUGGCGGGGGAGCACCACAAGGGGUGCGGCGUGCGGUUUAAUCGAACUCAACGCCGAGAAUCUCACCAGAGGCGACGGCAGAAUGAUAGACAGUCUAAAGGGCUUUCUUGACGAGCCGAGAGGUGGUGCAUGGCCGGCGUCAGCUCGUGCCGUAGGGUGUUCAGCUAAGUCUGACAACGAGCGAGACCUGUAUCCAUACUUGCCACCGGGGAAGAAAUUCUGACUGGGCACAAUAUGGGGACUGCCUGGGAAACCAGGAGGAAGGUGCAGGCUACGCUAGGUCUGUAUGCCCCGAAUCUUCUGGGCAACACGCGCGCAACAAUGGUAGGGACAAUGGGACACAACUCCGAAAGGAGAAGUUAAACCUCUAAACCCUAUCUCAGUCCAGAUCGAGGGUUGUAACUCACCCUCGUGACGUCGGAAUCCCUAGUAAUCGGAAUUUAUCAUAUUCCGGUGAAUAUGUCCCUGCUCCUUGCACACACCGCCCGUCAAACCAACCGAGCAGGGUUUCGGUAAGGUGGAGCUUUAUUGGUUUCACCGAAUCAAAGCUCAGUGAGGUGGGUUAAGUCGUCACAAGGUA